This 949-nucleotide long non-coding RNA is filed under the name Cricetulus griseus (Chinese hamster). RNAcentral's name for it is "lncRNA (ENSCGRG00000025268.1)". Lineage: Eukaryota; Metazoa; Chordata; Mammalia; Rodentia; Cricetidae. The record is from RNAcentral.
GUAGUUAGCAGGCGUCACGCUUCAGCGUUUGUGGACGCCCGCAGAGGAAAAGUGAGAAUUCCAGGGCGCAACCUGGAGCGGUGUAGUCCUUAGACCCCGGGAGACAAGAGGAUGAUUGGAAGAUGGAGGGCAGUUUGUCUCUGUCUUAGAAAAUGAAUGAACAAAAGAUUCCCGAAGACGUAAGAACAGAGUAUCAGAACAACAAAAUGAUUCAUCACGGUCACAUAAUUUUGUCAACGGCAAUACUCAGGCUUGAUCCAGAUUUUUAACUUCAACCCAAAGAGAUCACCGGAGACACUAUAUUGAGCAGACAAGGGCACACAGAGCAGCGCCAAGUCUAAGAAUCCCAGGACACUGGAUUGAGCAAGUCGGCACACAGAGGAUAAGUGGAGGUUUAAGUGCCUGGUGGAUUUGUACCAACCAAUCAGAGAAGAGUGUGCAAAUAAACUAGGUUGAGUUGGAUGCUGUUGUAUAGUUGUGAAUGCAUCAGGAGCAAAUAUCUGUGCAAAGCAGCAACCAGGAGCUAAGCACUACUCCAAGUCACCUCUGGACCUGGGGAGGAAAGUUCCAGGAGACAAGCAGGUUCCAGAAGGCCACCAUGGGCUCAGAACAAUACAUCGAUGCCUCCAGCUUUCCCUCCCUUAAGCCUCAAGAACCAUUCUUCUGUAACAAGCUGCCAUCUGUCUCUGAGAAAUUCGUCCUUCUUUUAGAUUAAUCAAGAGUUUGUGCUUCUUUAUUCAGGAGCAAAACCAAAAUAAAAUAUUCUGAAUUUAAACUGCAGACUAGAGUCAGCAGGAACACCCUCAAUGCUUAGCAGCAAGCGAAGAGCCAAGAUAGGAUAGCUCCAUAAAAGACAAGUGCCCAGUAAACUUGAAUUUCAGAUACACAGCAAAUAAUUUUAAAGUAUAGUAUGUUAUAAACAUUGCACAUAACAUACUUAUAGUUUAAA